CAAGGUGGUAGAUGGUAUAACAAUCAUUGUGAAUACGGUGAAUGUGAAAUUCUCGAGUGCAGCGUUCACGGCAUCAGUGCAGAUGUCUCGCAUUCGCGUCGAAUCGAAAACACCCAAAUGGGCAAACGCCGAUCUACGAUUCACCCGCCUCAAAGAUCCUCAGAAAGGCAUCAUACUCAUCUUCAAAGAGCUCUCCUGGCAAACGGUGCGCAUUGAGGCCAGUUCCACACAAGACAAAUCGCUCACUCCAUUACGCUUGCUAACCAAUCAGGCGCGCUGUCGGAUCACAUUACGGAAACGUCUUUCCGAUUGUACGCUUUUAGCCUCGAGACUGGUGCUCAUACUUGACGAUCUCCUUUGGGUGCUCACCGAUUCACAGCUGAAGGCGGCCUUACAUUUUGUCGAUUCGUUAUCGGGUCUAAUCAAAGCGGCGACACAUGCAACACAAAAAAAGAAUGCAGCUAGAAAACUACAGACUCUGCCCGAGUAUCAGGCAUUAAUUGCGCAACAACAAAAUCGUCAAUCUGAUACAGCGCACACAACAACAGCGCAGAAAAUGUUUAAUGCUUUCGAUGUGCGCGAGACUUCCUAUCACUUUUUUAGUCAGCGCAUCGAUUUGCAUUUGUGUGACGACGAAGGAGACGGCCGUUCAAGUUUUCCUGAGUUGGAUAAAGGCGGCGCAUUACAAAUAUCUGUACAAGCAUUCCAAGUAGACUAUUAUCCUUAUCAUCUGGCCAAGUCGGAUCGUGCGCACUGGGCGAAAUAUCGUGAGGCAUCCGUAUCGCCAGCGCUGUGGCUUAAAGAAUCGCUCAAUACAUUCCGUGAAGCUGUACUCAAUCUAAGUCAACCAAAUCGCCCCUCCACUCAUGCACCGCUCGAACGUACUGCACCUCCUUCACCCAUCGCUCUAAAUGUAAAUGCGCUGCAGGCACAAAGUUUGGCGCAUGCUGCGUCCGUGACAGCUGGUGGCACGCCGCCUGCUGUUACGUCGGGCACAACUACGCCUAAUCGUCAUGGUAGUAGCGGCGGUGGUUCCGGUAAUGCCUCUGCUCUCUCUAGCCAGGUGACGCAAGCGCAACAACAAAAGGCGACUUUGGAUAAUUUAGCGAAAUUAAUGAGCGCCUGUGUUGUAUUGCGUAUCGAGGAUUUUACAUUGUAUCGCGUCACUACAUCGGGCAGGAAACAGAUGCCUAAGGAGUUUGUGUCGGCACAAAAUAAAAGGAAAUCACGUUCAGGUGACAAGGAGCGUUAUUCUUUUCCCUCUGAUAUGUCCAUUGUACAUGCCGAGUUUACUUACUUUUAUUAUCCUGGUGAUUUUAUAUUUCCUUUGCCACCGUCCAAAGUAUUUGUUCACAUAAAUCCCUUACAAGUGCACUUCGAUUUAAGUUCCGUACUUUGGCUCAAUUCAUUUGCGCUUAAUUUACAUGAGAGUUUAUUGCGUACCAGCGUUGGUUCGGCAAGUGGUGUUUCUUCUACGGCGCGCGGUUCGGUCUCCUCUAGUGGCUCACAACGUGGUGCACAGAGUGUGCUGGGUUCGCAGGGUUCGCAGGGUUCGCAGGGUUCACGCAACUCACAAUCGGCCAUAUUUCAGGUGCAACAACAAGAAGAGCCCAAUCUAAUGUAUAUGGAUGUGAAAAUUGAAGCGAUUAUGCCGCGUGUCGUCAUCGAAUCAACCGUAGAUGUGCCCAAUCAAAAGGAUCGCCCAAGAAUUAUGCAAAUUCAAAUUUCACGUUUUGCCAUUACAAACAUACGUGAAAUGGGUUCGUCGCGCGCUGAUUUAGCGCAAGCUUUACAUUCACUACAAGAGGGUUCACUCGUCUUCGGCACGGAAUUUCCAUCGAUGAGCGGUGAUAUGUGCAUUGUCACUGAUCGCAUACUAUCGCAUGUGGCCGCUGCGGAUGUGGGUGUUCCCGCAGUAGCAGGAACCUCGACGGCGGCGGCGGCCGCGGCGGCAACGACGACUUCCAUGGCAGCAACACAAUUUUCUUUGCAACAACAAGCGCAAUCACAGUUGCCAGCACAGCUGUCGAAAUCCGCUUCAACACAGAAUUUGACACGUUACGCCAUGUGGUCGGAGCCGCGCGAUGUAUGGUGUAUCAAAUUGGAUCCGGUGUGGGUUGACUUCUUGGGUGCACGCUCUUUGGGAGCCAACAAAUCUAUACCAUUUGUUGACGCCGUUCCAGUAACCCUUUGGCUGCAUUCUGGUGUUGGUGCCAUGUCAAAGUCGGCGGCGGCGGCAAGCAUCGUAAACAAUUCAAAUACAUCCAGCGUGAAAGGAUUCUCCGUCGAAACGAAUAUCAAUUGCAUGGAUUAUGCGGAUGGUCGAAAUUUGCCACGCAAUCCAUUCCUGAGUGAGGAAGAUGUACGCAUGGGCAUGGAUUGGAAGCAGCAACGUUCCUUUAAUGGUGCCGGCGAAAGCGUCGACGCUGCAAUUGGUGGUGGAAGGUCGAAAGAAACGGGCGCAAAGGACGCAAACACCGAACGCACCGCCGAUAUGCAUGCCAUUGCGCACAUAUCCAAUUUGGUGAGUGUGCAAAUCGAUCAUUAUCAGUACUUGUUCCUAUUGCGGCUAGCCGAGGAGAUGACAGAAAUGGCUAUGUUCCUGUCAAUGGAUGCCGAACGUAUUUUACAAAAGCAAAAUACGAAGAAAUCAAUGAUAUUCGGUUGUGUUAUACCGCAAAUCGAAGUAACACUCGUGAUGCCAUCGCCAACACCUGGUAAGGAAUCGAGUGGUGGUGAUGCUGAAAGUGUCUUACCCGAUUCAGCUAGUUUGGGUGAUGAUUUACACAUGAAUAGUACAAACACUAUAUGGCCUACACCUCCAUUGGAGGAAGUAAAACGGAAUAUAUAUGGCAGUGUGGAAACACCUUCCCCAGUCACCAAUGAGCCACUCUUCGAUGGUGGCAUGCAUAUUUCCAAUCCCAAUACACAUGGUUAUAAUGUGCAAAUACAAAGUACACCAACAGUUGCGUCCUCCACACCCAGUCAGGGUUCACGUCCCGACACUGGUGUCUAUUCACAGUCCAUUACAGCAUCGACGAAAAGUGUGCGUUCGACACGUACUUCCACAACAGGCGAUGCGACUAGCAUAACCAAAGAAAUCAAUUCUAGUCUCAUGUCUAUGAAGAAAGGCUUCUCCAGUUUUAUGACAUCCAUAGAUUCGGCCAUUAAGUCAGGAGCGCCAAAUGAUGACACCAGUGACACAUUCUCUAUACAAAGUGAUAUUAGUUCAGAUUCGGAAAAUUUCGCCAUUGUUAUGGGCGAUGAUAAGACUAUGGAUUGCAUUGAUGUGAUGUUUAGAUUAAAUCCCUUCACCAAUGAUACCAACUUGAAAGUAUCACCCGUUGAGGUGGCUAGCGAAGUGCUGGAAGAGCCUAGUUAUAAUAAAACUAAUCUGUCAUCGCCCUCCGAACCGUCUGAGGCAAGCACGUGGCGGCGUCGUGAUUUAGUCUCAAUGGCGACUUUUAGACUCACCACGGUUGAAUUGAUACGCCAAAAUGAGGGCAACUCUUCAUCGUUGCGCGUACAAGUGGCCGCAGUUUCUUGCGACGAGUGUGGCGCAAUUCCUUGGGAUGAACUGCAGAAAGCGCAACAAGCAAACAAGACUAAAUUUGGCGCACGUUGUAAAGCUUGGAAUUUGGCGCCCUACAAUCCAGAGUUGCCGCCAUGCAUACGUUUGCGUUUGGAGGAGACACUCAACCCACCACAGGGUGAUGUAAACAUCACCGAUAAGAAAAUUAUACAGAGUUGGAUCCAGCAUCAUGCGGAAGUGCGCGUAAAGGAUGUUAAUUUAGAUUUAUCCAUGAGCACAGUUAUAGGUUUGGGAGAUUUAGCAGAAGAUGAAAUAAUCACCACUCCUUUGCCGGUGACUGUGCACGUGGAAAAUGUGAAAAUCAACUUAAUAGAAGAUCGUCCGCCCGUUAAUAUUACCUCACCGGGUCCAGUGCCAAUACGUUUGGCCAUAGGUCGUAUGCGUAUACAUCGUGAUAAGAAUGGCAUUGUGAACGUACAACCUAUAGAAACUGGUUUAAAUGACGCUGCCUCUUCAAACUAUCCUCUAACAGCUGUCGCUCCGACACCGCGCGAUCGCGAUCGUGAUCGUGAAAUACUUGCAAUGCAGUUGGUUAUGCAACAAUUGAAAAUGGACAAUGACAAUUUGCGUAAGCAGUUGGUAAAUGCGAAAGAAAAUGCCGAUUGCUAUAGACAAAAGACCAAACAAGAUAAUGAUGUACUACGUUCAUAUCUAAAAGCGGCACAAGACGACAUAACUAUACUUUUGGAAGAGAAAAAGGCUUUACUGGAUACGAUACGUUCACUGCAGUUCACGUAAGUGCGACCAUAGCUGCGGUUCAUGUGUUUGCAAAAGCUUCUCAAAAAGCAGACAUAAGCUGACAAUGCCCUGCAACGAAAGCGUUUUAUGUGAAUGGCUCGGAAUAUCAACCCAUACUCCACGAUAAGCCCAACCAACCCACCUGCGGAUGUGUAUUUAUUGUGGUCAAUCGAUGGCAGUAGCGUAUAUAGAAAGCGCGAAAUGUGAAGUACAAAUUAAUAGAAGAGUCAUAUAAGUAACAAAAUGGAGCCGCUGUAACGCAAAGUCACCAAUGAAAUUAAUAUCUUUCUGGAAUUUCCAAUAUCAUUAAUUACCAAACAUGCAAAUGCCAUGGAAGGGCACCACACCUGAUGGCGGACCAUCAUAAUUUCUACCCUUCACCGGAUAUUUUUCAAAUUGUAUUUGACUGGCUAUCUCAGUGUCGCGCGAAAAGCAUAGCAUUAUCUGAUAGAGCACAUCUUCGAAAACAAAAUACUGAUCGUCAUUUGAAGCCGUCAAUUGAAUGUCCUUGAAAAUCAGUUUAUCCACAAUGUGAUCGGUGGUUAAAACUUUAUUGCGUAAAUUCGCCCAGUGAUCGCAUUCCUGAAGCAGACAAAAAGAAAAGUGAAAAGUGUCCUUAAAAUAAAAUUGCAAUGAAAGUUCAAUGCGUUCCAGUAUCACCAAUAAUGAUUUCCAAAACGAGAUUCAACUACAUACAUAUCUCUCCCCACCAACCUGCCCAUUCAUGUAACUGCCGUGCGAUAGCACAAAGGACCAUAGUUCACCACGAAAUGGUGGCGGCGUUCUGCCCUUCUUCAGAAAAUGUUGACAAAGUGGCGCCUGCUUGGUAUCCAGUAUACGCUUGCAUUGUGUGGGAACUCUAGAACUAUUGAGAAGCUACUCAGAAAC
Molecule: RNA transcript, 5218 nt
Organism: Rhagoletis zephyria (snowberry fruit fly)
Lineage: Eukaryota; Metazoa; Arthropoda; Insecta; Diptera; Tephritidae
Gene: TpnC25D
Gene name: Troponin C at 25D
Source: RefSeq, a predicted model, not a curated record